RNAcentral lists this ribosomal RNA (165 nucleotides) under Sindora wallichii. Its description in RNAcentral is "5.8S ribosomal RNA". It matches the Rfam family "5.8S ribosomal RNA". From Rfam's summary of the family: 5.8S ribosomal RNA (5.8S rRNA) is a component of the large subunit of the eukaryotic ribosome. Lineage: Eukaryota; Viridiplantae; Streptophyta; Magnoliopsida; Fabales; Fabaceae. The record is from RNAcentral.
AACGACUCUCGGCAACGGAUAUCUCGGCUCUCGCAUCGAUGAAGAACGUAGCGAAAUGCGAUACUUGGUGUGAAUUGCAGAAUCCCGCGAACCAUCGAGUCUUUGAACGCAAGUUGCGCCCGAAGCCAUCAGGCCGAGGGCACGUCCGGCUGGGUGUCACGCAAC